UCCUCCCAGUAAUUCCCCAUUGGAACAACAGGAAUAGGAAUACUGAGUGAGCCCCACCGUGGGUAUUGCUGCUUGGAAGCAGCGACGCCGCCUCAGCUGCUCCCGCUUCCUCAGGCGGCCGCCGGAGCUGUGGCAGCGCCGGGCGGUCCCGCGGCCAGCAGGGAGCUCCAGCGCCCGCCCGAGGCCUCUGCGGCGGGGGCGGAGGGGAAGCCCUGCCCCGUUCUCCGCUCCCUUCCCCGCCCCAUCCCGGGGCCGUGUCCCGGUCCCGUGUCCCGGCGCGGGGACUCGCGGCCUCAAGGGACACGGCCCGAGCCGCCACGUCACCGCCCAACGCGCUCCUCGAAUGCCCCUGGAAAUGCAGGCGGGGGAAGCCGCCCGGAUGCGUUAGGCCUGUGCAGACAGGCUGUCGGGAUCCUUUCCCGCAGGCUUUUCCAGCCCCGACGGAAUGAAGACCUGGACAGCCCGGUCUGACCUAAUGGCUGAACCUGCCCGGAGCCAGUGGCUGGACCGGAGGCCUCCCGGGGCCCCUUUCCCACAGAAUUAUCCUGUGAUCCUGUGACACCGGAUUACAAACCCUCCUUCCAGUUUGAGCUGUGCCACCACCCUGGCUGGGUGCUGCUGGAGCUCUGUUAGCAGGUGACAUGAGCAGGACUGGCUGAAAAAGCCAUUCCUCUUUGAGCUGUCUGGGGAUCCAAGACCUUCCUGUUCCACAUGGGGAUGGGGACGGGGAUUAACCUACCCAUUCUAGUAGCAGCUGGGGGGGCAGAGGUGGGAGACAGACUCUGAGACAUAUGACCAGGGGACUCGGUCUCCCCACAGACACAUGAACAUUCCCAUUGAAAGUUUCAAUUUCAACAAAAUACUGGUAUUUGCCAACAACAAACGCCUCAACGGCAAGUUCCCAGCCAGCUCUCAGUCCCAAAGUGCACGUCCCUGGGACACCGGCACUGACGGGAAGGCUGAGGAGCCACCUCCUCCUCCAGCUGUGCCUGACCCCGAGGUGCUCUCUCCCGCCGGCUCCAUCCCGCAGUCCCUGGCACGAGGACGGGGAUUGGCUCCGUCAGCCACCGCACCCAACAUUCCUGCCGCUACACCCCGUCCAUGGGCUGCACCGAGAGGAGUGACUGCAGCCAGGGGACUGGGGACAAGACGGACAGACAGCCCUCAACAUCCAGAUAGCUGGGGACUGGAAGGUGUAACAGCGGCGGCAGCUGCCACGCUGCUUUAAGGCUGGGUACCCCCUGCGCUCCCCUGAGUUCAGGUUUCCUUUCUCCCUGUGGAGCCGCUGCCAGCCCCAGCCCUGCCCGCGUGGCAGGCACGGGUGCGUGCGGAGCCGGCCGGCCCUCCCUGCUGCAGAGCCAGCGGCAGCUGGGCCUCACCUCCCUUAACCCCGCCAGCCGAAAUCAGUACAGCUGAAAUUUUCCACUUGAGACGCACACAAGACCAGAAUAGAUUUCCAGGGUAUUCUUUUUUUCCCCCCACUAGCUAGAGGAAGACCGGGACACACUUUGUAAUGUUUGCUUUUAGAACACCCUCCAGAAGGCUUUAGGGAGUCCCCACAGCAUGGACAGCCCCACAGGGAGAGCCCCUGAGGCUCCAGGGUGUCAAGGCUGGGGGCACUGGCUUGGCCACUACUGGCUUGGCCACUACUGCCUUGGCAGUCUCAGCCCUUCAUCCCUUGGGACCAUUGACCCAAGUUCUAUGGAGACACAGUGAAUUUUUCCACAGUGCUGCUGCAGCAGCUGUGGGGGCCAUGUGAGAUCCUGCAAGGGGUAUGGACAAGUUGGGGGUGCCUGGGCUGCCACAGGCUGGGGAAAGGCAGGAACAGAAGAGGGAUUCCCAGCUUCAGCUCAGCCCCCAAAGCAGCGUUUUAUUUGGUGGCUUGUGAUUAAAAAAAAAAACCCAAUCUGCAGAGCAAAGCUGGUUUAGCUUAGCGCAUUUAGCACGCUGUGCUUCUGCUUCUGCCAAAUCCAUUUUGCAACCUCCCUGGAGCAGGGGCUCUCCCACUGCUGGUGCUGCCAAACGGCUGGAGCCUCUUUCCAGUGGUGGCAGGCAGCCCACAGCCCCAGCCCUGCUGUGCCCAUGGCACACACUCACCUCCGUGGGCUGCUGCUGCUCUGCCUGCAUGGUUGGGGUGCAGCUGCUGUCCACUGAGCCUGAAGGCCUUGAAGGAUGACACCUGCUCGGGCAUUCCUGUGGGGUUCAGUCAUUUCAAACCUCCAACAAGGCUGUUAGCAAGUCAAGACGAGUCACUUGCAGCCUGGAAUCAAAAGGGCAGGCACAUAAAGCCCUGCAGCCCACUGCUCACACAUAGGUCUGGCUCCAGACCUCAGUGCUCAGGACUCAACCUGCAGGUGCCAUUCCCCUGGGGGCAGGCACAUAGGGCUGUGGCUCUGGGCACCAGCCCUGCACAGCCAUACAAAGCUGCUCCUGGCCCAAGCAGUCACUGGCAUCCACAGUGGAUGCAGUUUGAGCAGGAACAAAGUCCUGGCCCCUGUGUCUGGAGGAUGCCAGAGCUAGGGAAGUUUCAGAGGAGGUACCUCUGUCUCAUGUGCCAAGGGCCCCAACAUGCACUCACUGAAGACUAAAGCCCCCAGGAUGAGAUGGUGCAGGAAUUCAGGCAGCCACAUGCCGGGGCCCAGCACCGCAGCCACAGCCAAGCAGCCCAGCCAUCCAGGCACCCGUGUCCUCCACACCCACCAGCCAGAGCCAUGCACCUGCCAGGGCACAGCAGGAGACCACUUAGGACAUGACAGGGACAGCAGGAAGAGGAAAGAGGGGAUGUGGUGCCACUGGAGUACCCUGUCACACCACAGCCUCCCACAGUUCAUUAUGGCACCUUCCCCACCAGCAGCACUGGGUUUCCCAGUGGCACAGGCUCCCUGUGCCAUGGACAACCUGUCUGCCUGGCAUGCUGCUCUGGGCACGGAGAGGGCAUGGCUGGGCUCACUACACCUGCCUGUUCCCAUAUGAUCACAUUUUAUUUCUAUCUGUGAGCUUCUUUUGCCUUUCCAGUGACUACUUACAAUCCACCAAACUCAGACUGAUGUUGUGCCUUCAAGCUCCUGGGGUUUGUCUCAUACUGUAGCAACUUCACCUUAAAACAUGUUAUCUUGAAAGCU
Molecule: long non-coding RNA, 3122 nt
Organism: Pseudopipra pipra
Lineage: Eukaryota; Metazoa; Chordata; Aves; Passeriformes; Pipridae
Exons: 2
Source: RefSeq, a predicted model, not a curated record